GGGGGAGGGGGACGGGAGAGAGGGAGAGAGGGAAAGAAGGACAUGGAAACUUACAGUGAAAUUUUCGUUGUUUAUAGCUUUCUUGGGGAAGAAAACACAUGCACAAAUCCUGGUGUAAGGAAUAUUUUAAGCAUAUAUCUUCAAUAUCAUUCAUCCAGGACCGAGCAAGACCAACACUCUUCCUCCUCCUCUGCCUACUCAAUGUGAAGACAAUGAGGAUGAACACCUUUAUGAUGCUCCACUUCCACUUAUUGAAUAAGUAGUCUCAUUGGCAGUGCCAAAAAAUUCCAGUCAAAUUAGAGUUGUACAGGAAUCAAAAAGAGAUUUAUCUUAAGGCAGAAGAAUGUGAAGAAUUGAGCAAAUAGAAAUGGAGAUUAUGCGAACUCAGUUGUGAAGCUAGAGAUGAACAAUACUUCAAAAGAAGAUCUUUAACCAUGCUAUAUCCUUCAGAAACCAGUUUUGUAUAUAUAUAUAUGCUUUUCAGGACAUGAUUUUUGUGAGUUUUGGUUUUGUUCUCUUUCUUUGUUUCAUGUUUCGUUAUUUAUAUGCCUUAAUUAAAGAACCUGGCUAGCCUCA
Molecule: long non-coding RNA, 576 nt
Organism: Homo sapiens (human)
Lineage: Eukaryota; Metazoa; Chordata; Mammalia; Primates; Hominidae
Source: Ensembl